UACGUAGGGUGCGAGCGUUAAUCGGAAUUACUGGGCGUAAAGCGUGCGCAGGCGGUUUGUUAAGUCUGAUGUGAAAGCCCCGGGCUCAACCUGGGAACUGCAUUGGAAACUGGCAAGCUCGAGUGUGGCAGAGGGAGGUGGAAUUCCACGUGUAGCAGUGAAAUGCGUAGAGAUGUGGAGGAACACCGAUGGCGAAGGCAGCCUCCUGGGCCAGCACUGACGCUCAUGCACGAAAGCGUGGGGAGCAAACAGG
Molecule: ribosomal RNA, 253 nt
Filed under: uncultured bacterium
Lineage: Bacteria
Description: partial 16S ribosomal RNA
Rfam family: Bacterial small subunit ribosomal RNA
Source: RNAcentral